Molecule: ribosomal RNA, 468 nt
Filed under: uncultured bacterium
Lineage: Bacteria
Description: partial 16S ribosomal RNA
Rfam family: Bacterial small subunit ribosomal RNA
Source: RNAcentral
GACGAACGCUGGCGGCGUGCUUAACACAUGCAAGUCGAACGGAAAGGCCCUGCUUUUGUGGGGUGCUCGAGCGGCGAACGGGUGAGUAACACGUGAGUAACCUGCCCUUGACUUUGGGAUAACUUCAGGAAACUGGGGCUAAUACCGGAUAGGAGCUCCUGCUGCAUGGUGGGGGUUGGAAAGUUUCGGCGGUUGGGGAUGGACUCGCGGCUUAUCAGCUUGUUGGUGGGGUAGUGGCUUACCAAGGCUUUGACGGGUAGCCGGCCUGAGAGGGUGACCGGCCACAUUGGGACUGAGAUACGGACCAGACUCGUACGGGAGGCAGAAGUGGGGAAUAUUGCACAAUGGGCGGAAGCCUGAUGCAGAAACGCCGCGUGCGGGAUGACGGCCUUCGGGUUGUAAACCGCUUUCGCCCGUGACGAAGCGUGAGUGACGGUAAUGGGUAAAGAAGCACCGGCUAACUACGUG